Molecule: unclassified non-coding RNA, 348 nt
Filed under: soil metagenome
Description: partial contains 5.8S ribosomal RNA, internal transcribed spacer 2, and large subunit ribosomal RNA
Rfam family: 5.8S ribosomal RNA (bases 1-120)
Source: RNAcentral
GAUGAAGAACGCAGCGAAAUGCGAUAAGUAAUGUGAAUUGCAGAAUUCAGUGAAUCAUCGAGUCUUUGAACGCACAUUGCGCCCCCUGGUAUUCCGGGGGGCAUGCCUGUCCGAGCGUCAUUGCUGCCCUCAAGCACGGCUUGUGUGUUGGGCCCCGCCCCCCGGCUCCCGGGGGGCGGGCCCGAAAGGCAGCGGCGGCACCGCGUCCGGUCCUCGGGCGUAUGGGGCUUCGUCACCCGCUCCGUAGGCCCGGCCGGCGCCCGCCGGCGACCCCCCUCAAUCUUUUCAGGUUGACCUCGGAUCAGGUAGGGAUACCCGCUGAACUUAAGCAUAUCAAUAAGCGGAGGA